Diospyros lotus (date-plum) is the source of this 1163-nucleotide long non-coding RNA. RefSeq lists it as uncharacterized. The transcript has 3 exons. Lineage: Eukaryota; Viridiplantae; Streptophyta; Magnoliopsida; Ericales; Ebenaceae. The record is from RefSeq and is a predicted model, not a curated record.
UUCUCAUAAUUAUUCACGGUCUUUUCUAUUUUUGCUCAAUGUUUACUGCCUUUAAAUUGCCACUUUUUUAUAGUUUUGGACAAGCUUUUGCAAGUGAUUUUUCUUGCUUGUCUAACCAAAAGUUCAGUUAAUUUUCACUUUCGGGAGGAUUAGAUUACUCUGAGAAAGUGAUCGAAAAUGUAACUAAACUUUGGUUGUGUGGCUGAGUGUAUGCACUUUUCAUCGUCUGACUAUUGAUGCGUGGUGAUUUAGAUGGUGGAUUGAAUUGGAGGGCGAAAUUUGAGGACUAGUUGCUAUUUCUGAGAAUGAAUUCUGAUGUCUUUUGCUUUCGAACCAUUUAUGUAUGUUCUUGCUGAUUGAUAGUUUCUUUCAAAUUUAAACUCCUUAUAUCAAUUUCAUAUUUUCGGUAUUUGAAAUGCCAUUAGGGAAGUCUGGAAUAAUGCGUGACAUUUUUACAUACUGCAUAUAUCAUUAAUUUGCAUUUUUGUGCACGUAUGUAAGUUUUUUAUGCAUAUGGAGCUAGGAAAAUGCUACUAGUAUUGCAAGGAAGCCUAGUAAUGCAAAUAACAGACUUGCAGAAUUAGAAAAUUCCACUUCUAAGUAGGGGACUGUUAUUGAAGUUUUUUACACAGCUUGCUAAAAAAAAGAAGAACAAUAGGGCAUUCGAGAGGCCCCAACUCUCUAACAACCUUCUACAAAAUUCCACACCUCUCUCACUCUCUUUCUCUUAUUUAUACCCCAUCCUACUUAGCAUAGCUGCCUCUGGCAGCAGAUGCUGGUUUGUUACAACAAACCAGCUAUUUCCCCUACUAUCCUCCACCCAUUUUACCUCCUUGCCCCUGUCCCUUGGGCUGCCUUUGGUAGGUCCAAUGGACCGGGGGCCUAUCAGGGACCCACCCAUCUAAAAGAAUAAGCUAUUAGGUGGGGAAAAGUUUCUUAUUUUUUUUCUUAGCAUGUUCUCUCGUCUAUUAUCCUACUUUCAUUCAUGGUAGGCUACACAUGUACAAGUUUUUUAUAUUCUUGUAGGUGCUUAAGUUUUAAACUAAGGAUCUAGGUUUUGAUGUGAUGUUGAGUUGAGAGAGGAGUUGGUUAUAAUUUAUUUCUGAACAGAAAUGCAAUGCACUAAUUGAAUGUGUAGUAGUAUCCUAGAUCAUUCACAAUGU